Molecule: transfer RNA, 72 nt
Filed under: Felis catus (domestic cat)
Lineage: Eukaryota; Metazoa; Chordata; Mammalia; Carnivora; Felidae
Rfam family: tRNA
About the family: Transfer RNA (tRNA) molecules are approximately 80 nucleotides in length. Their secondary structure includes four short double-helical elements and three loops (D, anti-codon, and T loops).
Source: Rfam by way of RNAcentral
GCCUGGCUGGUUCAGUGGUAGAGCGCGAGACUCUUGAUCUCAGGGUUGUGAGUUUGAACUCCAUGUUGAGUA